UUAACUGGCAGUCUUCCAAGACUGAACAUUAAUCUUACCAUCUCCUAUUACAGUCCCUAAUCAAGAUAUCCCAGGGGUGAUUGCACUAACAUUGUUUGAAGACUACAUCUACUGGACUGAUGGGAAAACCAAGUCACUCAGCCGUGUCCAUAAAACCUCGGGAGCAGACAGACUUUCACUGAUUUACUCAUGGCAUGCCAUCACAGAUAUCCAGGUGUAUCAUUCUUAUAGACAACCUGAUGUCUCCAAACAUCUUUGCACGGUAAAUAAUGGUGGUUGCAGCCAUUUGUGCCUUUUAGGCCCUGGGAAGACGCACACCUGUGCAUGUCCUACCAACUUCUACCUUGCAGCUGACAAUAGAACUUGUUUAUCCAACUGCACAGCAAGUCAGGUGAGUUGAGUUCUGAAACCAUCUCCUGUGUAGAUUGUGUGUGCUGUUAUUAAUGUUUGGCC
Molecule: long non-coding RNA, 453 nt
Filed under: Rattus norvegicus (Norway rat)
Lineage: Eukaryota; Metazoa; Chordata; Mammalia; Rodentia; Muridae
Description: long non-coding RNA NONRATT032949
Source: RNAcentral